RNAcentral lists this ribosomal RNA (253 nucleotides) under uncultured bacterium. Its description in RNAcentral is "partial 16S ribosomal RNA". It matches the Rfam family "Bacterial small subunit ribosomal RNA", at positions 524 to 776 of the family's 1533-position model. The record is from RNAcentral.
UACGUAGGGUGCGAGCGUUGUCCGGAAUUACUGGGCGUAAAGAGCUCGUAGGCGGUUUGUCGCGUCGUCUGUGAAAUCCCUCGGCUUAACCGGGGGCGUGCAGGCGAUACGGGCAGACUUGAGUACUACAGGGGAGACUGGAAUUCCUGGUGUAGCGGUGAAAUGCGCAGAUAUCAGGAGGAACACCGGUGGCGAAGGCGGGUCUCUGGGUAGUAACUGACGCUGAGGAGCGAAAGCAUGGGUAGCGAACAGG